Molecule: long non-coding RNA, 807 nt
Organism: Macrobrachium nipponense
Lineage: Eukaryota; Metazoa; Arthropoda; Malacostraca; Decapoda; Palaemonidae
Exons: 4
Source: RefSeq, a predicted model, not a curated record
GAAGAAGAAGAAGAAGAAGAAGAAGAAGAAUAAGUAUAAGAAGCAGCGAUCGGCGGCGUCUCUCGAGGAUAAUAAUAGAAUAAUAAUGAUAAGUAUCGGUAUUAAUUAUAAUUAUGAUUGAACAGGGCUCCUCCUUAAGCAAGUGACAAGAGUAAUGCUGCCGUACGACAUUUUGGCUCUCAUCCGCCGGUGCCGCCUGGCCUGGCUCCUCCAUGAUCCAUCUCAAUUGCAUCAGUUUGCAUGCAGUUAUAAGUUAAUUUAGUUCUGAGACGUUAGUCGCCCCGCCUCCCCCCUCCCCCACGGUUUAUGCAGUUCCUUUGUUUGUUUCGAGUGGAGAGUUGUCCUAGUUUGUAUCGCCGGUGAACUGGAGAGAGAGAGAGGAGAGCAACCAAUCACCAAUGGUUGCUGCCUUAGGCACCUACCAAGGAGCAAGAAGCCCAGCCCACAAGAAAAGGUGCAAAGGACACCAUUAGCCCUGGAGAAAGACCACUGAGGAGGAUCAACACAAGGAAGAAGCUCUUUCGUACUCAAACAGAGUCCAAAAUUUUUGGAUGCAAUAUAGAUUGUUCUUUAUUUCUUCUGUGACCCAAAUCAACGUAGAAACUUCUUCCCCUUGAAAAUAUUAACUGUCACUCAACUCCAUAACCUGAUCAUGCAUGAGAAAUCCACCCGUUGACUAAGCACUGGCAUGGGUUCCAUUGGAAGUCUUUUUUUUGCAUACCACUGCAGUGCACUUUAUCAGCUGUUCUCUCAAUCUCUCCAAUGCGUUUGCUAUUCCUCCCUCCCAUCUCAAAACUAUGUUGUGUU